RNAcentral lists this ribosomal RNA (456 nucleotides) under uncultured bacterium. RNAcentral describes it as "bacterial SSU rRNA". It matches the Rfam family "Bacterial small subunit ribosomal RNA", at positions 62 to 507 of the family's 1533-position model. The record is from RNAcentral.
UCGAACGGUAACAGGAAGCAGCUUGCUGCUUUGCUGACGAGUGGCGGACGGGUGAGUAAUGUUUGGGAAACUGCCUGAUGGAGGGGGAUAACUACUGGAAACGGUAGCUAAUUCCGCAUAACGUCGCAAGACCAAAGAGGGGGACCUUCGGGCCUCUUGCCAUCGGAUGUGCCCCGAUGGGAUUAGCUAGUAGGUGGGGUAAAGGCUCACCUAGGCGACGAUCCCUAGCUGGUUUGAGAGGAUGACCAGCCCCCCUGGAACUGAGACCCGGUCCCGACUCCUUCGGGAGGCAGCAGUGGGGAAUAUUGCCCAAUGGGCGCAAGCCUGAUGCAGCCCUGCCGCGUGUAUGAAGAAGGCCUUCGGGUUGUAAAGUACUUUCAGCGGGGAGGAAGGGAGUAAAGUUAAUACCUUUGCUCAUUGACGUUACCCGCAGAAGAAGCACCGGCUAACUCCGUG